GAUCAUGAUAACUAGUCGAAUCGACAGGCCUUGUGCCGGCGAUGGCUCAUUCAAAUUUCUUCCCUAUCAACUUUCGAUGUUUGGGUCUUGUCCAAACAUGGUGGCAACGGGUAACGGAGGGUUAGGGCUCGACCCCGGAGAAGGAGCCUGAGAAACGGCUACUACAUCCAAGGAAGGCAGCAGGCGCGCAAAUUACCCAAUCCCGACACGGGGAGGUAGUGACAAUAAAUACUGAUACAGGGCUCUUUUGGGUCUUGUAAUCGGAAUGAGUACAAUUUAAAUCCCUUAACGAGGAACAAUUGGAGGGCAAGUCUGGUGCCAGCAGCCGCGGUAAUUCCAGCUCCAAUAGCGUAUAUUAAAGUUGUUGUGGUUAAAAAGCUCGUAGUUGAACCUUGGGCCUGGCUGGCCGGUCCGCCUCACCGCGUGCACUGGUCCGGCCGGGCCUUUCCCUCUGCGGAACCCCAUGCCCUUCACUGGGUGUGGCGGGGAACCAGGACUUUUAC
RNAcentral lists this ribosomal RNA (503 nucleotides) under uncultured fungus. Its description in RNAcentral is "SSU rRNA". It matches the Rfam family "Eukaryotic small subunit ribosomal RNA", at positions 249 to 755 of the family's 1831-position model. The record is from RNAcentral. Lineage: Eukaryota; Fungi.